RNAcentral lists this transfer RNA (71 nucleotides) under Florometra sp. BMK-2020. RNAcentral describes it as "tRNA-Tyr". It matches the Rfam family "tRNA". From Rfam's summary of the family: Transfer RNA (tRNA) molecules are approximately 80 nucleotides in length. Their secondary structure includes four short double-helical elements and three loops (D, anti-codon, and T loops). The record is from RNAcentral. Lineage: Eukaryota; Metazoa; Echinodermata; Crinoidea; Comatulida; Antedonidae. RNAcentral also lists the same sequence under 1 other name.
AACAAAUUGGCUGAAAGACUAAGCAAUAGAUUGUAAAUCUAAAAAAAAAGGUUUAAUUCCUUUAUUUGUUA